This 490-nucleotide ribosomal RNA is filed under the name uncultured Clostridiaceae bacterium. RNAcentral describes it as "bacterial SSU rRNA". It matches the Rfam family "Bacterial small subunit ribosomal RNA", at positions 8 to 499 of the family's 1533-position model. Lineage: Bacteria; Bacillati; Bacillota; Clostridia; Eubacteriales; Clostridiaceae. The record is from RNAcentral.
AGGCUUUGAUCCUGGCUCAGGAUGAACGCUGGCGGCGUGCCUAACACAUGCAAGUCGAGCGGGGUGCCCCGACGGAAGCCUUCGGGCUGAAGUCGGACGCACCUAGCGGCGGACGGGUGAGUAACGCGUGGGCAACCUGCCCUGUACAGGGGGAUAACAUUGGGAAACCAGUGCUAAUACCCCAUAACACUGACCGGUGGCAUCACCGGUUAGUCAAAGUUUUUUCGGUACAGGAUGGGCCCGCGUCUGAUUAGUUAGUUGGUAAGGUAACGGCUUACCAAGACGAUGAUCAGUAGCCGACCUGAGAGGGUGAUCGGCCACACUGGAACUGAGACACGGUCCAGACUCUACGGGAGGCAGCAGUGGGGAAUAUUGCACAAUGGGGGAAACCCUGAUGCAGCAACGCCGCGUGAGCGAUGAAGGCCUUCGGGUCGUAAAGCUCUGUCCUAAGGGAAGAUUCAGACGGUACCUUAGGAGGAAGCCCCGGCUA